Molecule: signal recognition particle RNA, 299 nt
Filed under: Octodon degus (degu)
Lineage: Eukaryota; Metazoa; Chordata; Mammalia; Rodentia; Octodontidae
Description: Metazoan signal recognition particle RNA (ENSODEG00000022817.1)
Rfam family: Metazoan signal recognition particle RNA
About the family: The signal recognition particle (SRP) is a universally conserved ribonucleoprotein. It is involved in the co-translational targeting of proteins to membranes.
Source: RNAcentral
GCCGGGCAUGGUGGUGCGCACCUGUAGUCCCAGCUACUCAGGAGGCUGAGGUGGGAGGAUCACUUGAGUCCAGGAGUUCUGGGCUGCAGUGCACUAUGCCGAUCGGGUGUCCGCACUAAGUUCGGCAUCAAUAUGGUGACCUCCCGGGAGUGGGGGACCACCAGGUUGCCUAAGGAGGGGUGAACCGGCCCAGGUCGGAAACAGAGCUGGUCAAAACUCCCGUGCUGAUCAGUAGUGGGAUCACCCCUGUGAAUAGCCACUGUACUCCAGCCUGGGCAAUAUAGUGAGACCCCUUUUCU